AGAGUUGGCGAGGCGAUUACGGGUCGGCAUGACUGGCCCGAGGAAAGUCCGGGCUCCCGAAAGACCAGACUUGCUGGGUAACGCCCAGUGCGGGUGACCGUGAGGAUAGUGCCACAGAAACAUACCGCCGAUGGAGCGAUCGCUCACAGGUAAGGGUGCAAAGGUGCGGUAAGAGCGCACCAGCAGCAUCGAGAGGUGCUGGCUCGGUAAACCCCGGUCGGGAGCAAGGUCGCAGAGGCAAGGGUUGGUCUUUUUCCUGUCUCGCUGUUGGUGUACCGCAAGAGGCGGUUGGUAACAGCCGUCCCAGAUAGAUAAUCGCCCUCUCGGCUUGCCUGAGAGAACAGAACCCGGCUUAUGUCUGACUCUUCCC
Molecule: non-coding RNA, 370 nt
Organism: Lyngbya confervoides
Lineage: Bacteria; Bacillati; Cyanobacteriota; Cyanophyceae; Oscillatoriales; Microcoleaceae
Source: Rfam